RNAcentral lists this ribosomal RNA (106 nucleotides) under Mycoplasmopsis bovis. Lineage: Bacteria; Bacillati; Mycoplasmatota; Mycoplasmoidales; Metamycoplasmataceae. The record is from RNAcentral.
AUCAGUGGCCAUAGCAAAGGGGAUCACCUGAUACCAUUCCGAACUCAGUAGUUAAGCCCUUUAGCGCCGAAGAUAUCAGAGAUGGGAAAAUAGGGAGCUGCUUUUU